This 498-nucleotide ribosomal RNA is filed under the name uncultured bacterium. RNAcentral's name for it is "partial 16S ribosomal RNA". It matches the Rfam family "Bacterial small subunit ribosomal RNA", at positions 28 to 507 of the family's 1533-position model. The record is from RNAcentral.
GACGAACGCUGGCGGCGUGCCUAAUACAUGCAAGUCGAACGAGAGCGACCGGUGCUUGCACUGGUCAAUCUAGUGGCGAACGGGUGAGUAACACGUGGGUAACCUGCCCAUCAGAGGGGGAUAACAUCCGGAAACGGAUGCUAAAACCGCAUAGGUCUUCGAACCGCAUGGUUUGAAGAGGAAAAGAGGCGCAAGCUUCUGCUGAUGGAUGGACCCGCGGUGCAUUAGCUAGUUGGUGAGGUAACGGCUCACCAAGGCCGUGAUGCAUAGCCGACCUGAGAGGGUGAUCGGCCACAUUGGGACUGAGACACGGCCCACACUCCUACGGGAGGCAGCAGUAGGGAAUCUUCCGCAAUGGACGCAAGUCUGACGGAGCAACGCCGCGUGAGUGAAGAAGGUUUUCGGAUCGUAAAACUCUGUUGUUAGAGAAGAACAAGUGCUAGAGUAACUGUUAGCGCCUUGACGGUAUCUAACCAGAAAGCCACGGCUAACUACGUG